UGGAGGGAAAGUCAAGAAUACAAUCCACCCUAUCUGCCUCUUUAAAAAAGAAAUGCUUCCCUGCCUGAGAGAGAAAAAAAAAAAAAGAGAGAGAGAGAGAAUAAAGAGAGAAAGUAAAGAGAGAAACUAAAUCAAUCCUGAAUGCUUAAGAACACUGAAGGAAUGGGUUAAUGUAAAACUGAAGCACAGGUGAAAACCAUUUCAGAGCUCAUAUCCAUCACCAAAAGAUAUAAAUGGGUAGCUGUAGAACGAAAGGAGGUUUCCAUUGUUAGUGAAAGGAUGAUGGAACAGAAACGUAUUUGUGAGGAUGAAAGUAAAGAAGAAUAUGCUGAUGCUAGUUUCCCACUGAAGAGCACAGUGAUCUCUGAAUUCUCUGGAUGUAUAAAAUGUCCUUCUUCGUUGUUCAACAACCAGAAUAAUUAUCUUCAGAGAAUGUUGCAGAAAGAAAUACAUAGUUUCUCUCUUCUGGACACACUUGGUAUCAACUGAAAUACUUCUGCUUGAUCAGGACACUGGUUUUGAAGGACAGUCAGACAGCUGACAAAGACUAUAUGGAGGUACUGGGACCCAGACUCCAGGCUUCCUUUCCUUUUACAACAGUUUGUCUAGAAUCUUGAUGCCUGCCUACUUCAAAUUGACAUAUCUAUGAAAGCAGGUGUAUUUUCUGAAGUUCAAGAGAAGAUUUAGACUCUUCUCCAGUGGGCACAGUGCUGGUGAAAAAGUGGAGUUAGACAAAAAUAUUUUAAAAAAAUUACAGUGCUGAUGUUGACAAUGGUUAAUAAACAACAACAAAAACGAACA
This 801-nucleotide long non-coding RNA is filed under the name Anser brachyrhynchus (Pink-footed goose). Its description in RNAcentral is "lncRNA (ENSABRG00000007958.1)". The record is from RNAcentral. Lineage: Eukaryota; Metazoa; Chordata; Aves; Anseriformes; Anatidae.